This 72-nucleotide transfer RNA is filed under the name Blastocystis sp. BT-1. RNAcentral's name for it is "tRNA-Asn". It matches the Rfam family "tRNA". From Rfam's summary of the family: Transfer RNA (tRNA) molecules are approximately 80 nucleotides in length. Lineage: Eukaryota; Bigyra; Opalinata; Blastocystidae. RNAcentral also lists the same sequence under 2 other names. The record is from RNAcentral.
UCUUUAAUAGUUCAAAGGUGGAACGCAUGACUGUUAAUCAUGAAGUUAUAGGUUCGAGUCCUAUUUAAAGAG